Molecule: ribosomal RNA, 546 nt
Filed under: uncultured bacterium
Lineage: Bacteria
Description: partial 16S ribosomal RNA
Rfam family: Bacterial small subunit ribosomal RNA
Source: RNAcentral
UGGGGAAUAUUGCACAAUGGGCGAAAGCCUGAUGCAGCGACGCCGCGUGAGGGAUGACGGCCUUCGGGUUGUAAACCUCUUUCAGCAGGGAAGAAGCGAAAGUGACGGUACCUGCAGAGGAAGCGCCGGCUAACUACGUGCCAGCAGCCGCGGUAAUACGUAGGGCGCAAGCGUUGUCCGGAAUUAUUGGGCGUAAAGAGCUCGUAGGCGGUUAGUCGCGUCUGCUGUGAAAACUCGAGGCUCAACCUCGGGCUUGCAGUGGGUACGGGCUGACUAGAGUGCGGUAGGGGUGACUGGAAUUCCUGGUGUAGCGGUGGAAUGCGCAGAUAUCAGGAGGAACACCGAUGGCGAAGGCAGGUCACUGGGCCGCAACUGACGCUGAGGAGCGAAAGCAUGGGGAGCGAACAGGAUUAGAUACCCUGGUAGUCCAUGCCGUAAACGUUGGGCACUAGGUGUGGGUCCAUUCCACGGAUUCCGUGCCGCAGCAAACGCAUUAAGUGCCCCGCCUGGGGAGUACGGCCGCAAGGCUAAAACUCAAAUGAAUUG